AGAGUUUGAUCAUGGCUCAGAUUGAACGCUGGCGGCAGGCUUAACACAUGCAAGUCGAGCGGAGAUGAGGUGCUUGCACCUUAUCUUAGCGGCGGACGGGUGAGUAAUGCUUAGGAAUCUGCCUAUUAGUGGGGGACAACAUUCCGAAAGGAAUGCUAAUACCGCAUACGUCCUACGGGAGAAAGCAGGGGAUCUUCGGACCUUGCGCUAAUAGAUGAGCCUAAGUCGGAUUAGCUAGUUGGUGGGGUAAAGGCCUACCAAGGCGACGAUCUGUAGCGGGUCUGAGAGGAUGAUCCGCCACACUGGGACUGAGACACGGCCCAGACUCCUACGGGAGGCAGCAGUGGGGAAUAUUGGACAAUGGGGGGAACCCUGAUCCAGCCAUGCCGCGUGUGUGAAGAAGGCCUUAUGGUUGUAAAGCACUUUAAGCGAGGAGGAGGCUACUGAGACUAAUACUCUUGGAUAGUGGACGUUACUCGCAGAAUAAGCACCGGCUAACUCUGUGCCAGCAGCCGCGGUAAUACAGAGGGUGCGAGCGUUAAUCGGAUUUACUGGGCGUAAAGCGUGCGUAGGCGGCUUUUUAAGUCGGAUGUGAAAUCCCCGAGCUUAACUUGGGAAUUGCAUUCGAUACUGGGAAGCUAGAGUAUGGGAGAGGAUGGUAGAAUUCCAGGUGUAGCGGUGAAAUGCGUAGAGAUCUGGAGGAAUACCGAUGGCGAAGGCAGCCAUCUGGCCUAAUACUGACGCUGAGGUACGAAAGCAUGGGGAGCAAACAGGAUUAGAUACCCUGGUAGUCCAUGCCGUAAACGAUGUCUACUAGCCGUUGGGGCCUUUGAGGCUUUAGUGGCGCAGCUAACGCGAUAAGUAGACCGCCUGGGGAGUACGGUCGCAAGACUAAACUCAAUGAAUUGACGG
This 912-nucleotide ribosomal RNA is filed under the name uncultured bacterium. Its description in RNAcentral is "bacterial SSU rRNA". It matches the Rfam family "Bacterial small subunit ribosomal RNA", at positions 8 to 916 of the family's 1533-position model. The record is from RNAcentral.